CCUACGGGAGGCAGCAGUGAGGAAUAUUGGUCAAUGGGCGCGAGCCUGAACCAGCCAAGUCGCGUGAGGGAAGACGGUCCUAUGGAUUGUAAACCUCUUUUGUCGGGGAGCAAAAGACGCCACGCGUGGCGUUCCGAGAGUACCCGAAGAAAAAGCAUCGGCUAACUCCGUGCCAGCAGCCGCGGUAAUACGGAGGAUGCGAGCGUUAUCCGGAUUUAUGGGGUUAAAAGGGUGCGCAGGCGGAAGAGCAAGUCAGCGGUAAAAUUGAGAGGCUCAACCUCUUCGAGCCGUUGAAACUGGUUUUCUUGAGUGAGUGAGAAGUAUGCGGAAUGCGUGGUGUAGCGGUGAAAUGCAUAGAUAUCACGCAGAACUCCGAUUGCGAAGGCAGCAUACCGGCGCUCAACUGACGCUCAUGCACGAAAGUGUGGGUAUCGAACAGGAUUAGAUACCCGUGUAGUC
This 459-nucleotide ribosomal RNA is filed under the name uncultured bacterium. RNAcentral describes it as "partial 16S ribosomal RNA". It matches the Rfam family "Bacterial small subunit ribosomal RNA", at positions 338 to 795 of the family's 1533-position model. The record is from RNAcentral.